RNA transcript from Panonychus citri (citrus red mite), 4031 nucleotides. It is a transcript of the gene named BTB/POZ domain-containing adapter for CUL3-mediated RhoA degradation protein 3-like, with no coding region annotated. The transcript has 7 exons. NCBI's taxonomy places the organism in Eukaryota, Metazoa, Arthropoda, Arachnida, Trombidiformes, Tetranychidae. The record is from RefSeq and is a predicted model, not a curated record.
UUAUUUUGCUAAUAUUUGUUUUUAGUAGCGAUCUGCUAAUUAAUUAUUGAUAUUUAAGUUGAUUGGUGACUUUUGCUGGUAUAAAAUCCUUAUAAACAUUGGUUAUUAUCCAAUUUAUGUCAUUAGUUAUCCGAUUGUUUUAUUCAUCGGUUUGUUCUUUUGCGAAAAAGUUUCAAUAAUUGUUCCAAUAUGAGUGAUUCGGAUGGACCAGCGAUUCCAAAUAGAAGAAAUGUUCUUUUAUUGCUAAAUGAUAAAAGUGAAUAUGUGAAAUUAAAUGUCGGUGGAUUUUUAUUCCAAACAACAGUCGUAACUCUCACCAAAUUCGACACGAUGUUCAAGGCCAUGUUUUCUGGUAGAAUGGAGGUCAUCAAGGAUUCUGAAGGUUGGAUUUUAAUAGAUAGAAAUGGUGAGCACUUCGGGACUAUUUUGAAAUAUCUUCGAGAUGGAUCAGUGUCAUUACCAAAGAAGAUGAAAGAUCUUAAGAAUUUACUGGCCGAAGCUCGAUACUAUUUAAUCGAAGGGUUGAUCGCUUCAUGUGAAUCAAGACUAGAGAGGUUAAAGGUGAUCCAUUUAUGCGAGUACGAAUGUUUUCAUCAGCGGAAAAAGAAGCAAAAUUUAUUGUAAACUCGAAGAGACCAAUUGUUAAACUCUCAACAAAUCGGCACAUGUAUGAACAUCCUUAUACAGAUACAUCAGAGCUGAAUCUACUUCGAAAUCGAGAGCUUUUUGCAGAGUUGUGUUUUAAAUUCAGCUCACGAAUUAGAUUCGUCCAAAAUGAAAAGACAACUGACCUGAUUUGUUGUUGGUCAUUUUAUCACAAUGGCGCGAAAAAUAAAGAUAUCGAUUGUGCUUCGACGGGUAAUUUUAUAACAGAUAAUGACAUGGCCACAAAAGUCGAUUUCCCGAAGGCUAAAAUAUAUAAAGAAGUGGCUAAUUUAUCGAUGCGAGUGGUUAAUACACAUUUAUCAGAUGAUGAUUGGAGUGAUGAUGAUGAAGAUAAUUCAAGUGAAGAUGAUGAGCCAGGUGAGAGUAUUGAUUAGAGAUACUCCGUUCCGAUUUAUAAAUCGAUCGAUUUUUGGCACAGGAAAAUCAAUACUACUGAUUUCUAGAAUUCAGAAUCGGUUUGCUUUGCAGUGCUAAUGAGGAUCUUGCAAGUUUCUCACGCUUUUUUUCUGACAUUUACAUGUAAUCUUAAUGGUGAUCUUCUAAUUAGAUGUUUUUAUUCAAGCUGACGAGGGCGGAUUUGUUUCCUAUUAAUCAUAUUAAAUAUUAUCAAUAAAUAUAUUAAAUCAUAUAAGUAUUGGUUAUUAUUCAGUUUACACCAUUAGCUUUUCAAUUGUUUUAUUCGUCGGUUUCUUCAUUUGUGAAAAAGUUUAUAAUUGUUCCAGUAUGAGUGAUUCGGAUGGAUCAGCGAUUCCAAAUAGAAGAAGUGUCGUUUUCAUGCAAAAUGAUCAAAGUGAAUAUGUAAAAUUAAAUGUCGGUGGAUUUUUAUUCCAAACAACGGUCGUAACUCUCACCAAAUUCGACACGAUGUUCAAGGCUAUGUUUUCUGGUAGAAUGGAGGUCAUCAAGGAUUCUGAAGGUUGGAUUUUAAUAGAUAGAAAUGGUGAUCACUUCGGAACUAUUUUGAAAUAUCUUCGAGAUGGAUCAGUGUCAUUGCCAAAGAAGAUCAAAGAUCUUAAAAAUUUACUGGCCGAAGCUCGAUACUAUUUGAUCGGAGGAUUGAUCGCUCCAUGCGAAGCGAGACUAGAGAGGUUAAAGGGUGAUCCAUUUAUGCGAGUACGAAUGUUUUUAUCGGAAGAAAAAGAAGCUGAAUUCAUCGCGCAUUCAAAGAGACCACUUGUUAAACUCUCAACAAAUCGAUCGGUUAGUGCAUAUCCUUAUGAAAGUUCAUCAGAAAUUAAUUUCCUUAAAAAUCGGGAAUUAUUUGGAAAGUUGUGCCUUAAAUGUAGCUCACGAAUCAUCUUCAUCCAAAAUGAAAAGACAACUGAUCUGGUUUGUUGUUGGUCAUUUUAUAACAACGGCGAGAAAGUUUCAGACAUUCAUUGUGCCUCGACGGGCCAUUCCAACAAUUCUGUAACUUUGACCACAAAAGUUAAUUUCCCGGAGGCGAAAGUAUUUGAAGAAGUGCUCAACUUAUCGAUGCAGGCAUUCAAAAUAUUAGAUGAUGAUUCAAGUGAAGAUGAGGAAUGAGAAAACUCUUGGUACAGUUCGAACACUAGGAAAUCGAAUCCCAAAAACAAUAAAUCAAAUCGAGACAAUUUUUGUGACUCUCUUCAUAAUUUAUGUCAUUUGAUUCAAUUUUUCAUAUACAGGUCGCUAGCAAAUUCAUUUGACUUUUUUUAACAUUAAUUUACUCUAAUCAAUCUACUUAUAAAAUUAUUAAUUAAGUAUUCAUUUUAUUCGAAAUUCAUUUAAAAAUUUAUAUCUAAAAUUUAUUUGUGAUUUGGUUCUUUCGUUUGGUCACAAUUCGAAUUAGAACAAAAAGGUAGAAUUCGAAUUGUUUUAAGCAAAUUUUUUUUUUGAUUCUUAAUAAAGUUCUUAUGGCUUAUAGCAAUUCGCUGAUUUUUGUUCAGAACAUAGAAAUCGGCAAAAAUUUUUGAAAAUUUUUUAUUUGAAAACUUUAUCUCAUUUAGUUUUCGAGAUAUAAUUAGUUUAAAUUUCACGAUUUUUCAAACUCGAAAAUCGAGCUCCGCCCUCAUGUUAAAUGAAUUUGCUAGCGACCUGUAAUUAAAUUCAAGAAAUCGAUUGUCCCUUUAAGAAUACAGAGAAUAAAUUUGAUUCAAUAAUAAAGUAAACUUCUUUAAUAAUAGUGAUUGAGAUCAGACUUGAUUUUCAUCAGAAUUGAAUCACUUCAACCUAUUCAAAGCAAUUUGAUUAACUUUGUUGUCCCAUCAAAGGAUUAACCAGCAAUCACAUCAUAGAUGGCACAAGUUAUACAUGUAUAAGAAAACAUAAUUGAAACUCAAUUUAAUCCAUGCGGUUAUGGUUUGAUUAUUUAGUUUUAACUGUGAACUUGAACUGUUCAAGUUGAACAUCAUUUGAACUUGUUUCUCGCAAUUAUUUCAACAUGGAGGUGACUUCUCAUGAUGAUGUAGAUGAAAAGAUGAAAAAUACUCAUGGUAAAUAUGUAAAAUUGAAUAUUGGUGGAUUUUUAUUCCAAACAACAAUUGCAACUCUCACCAGAACCGAUUGUAUGUUUAAGGCCAUGUUUUCCGGUAGAAUGGGAAUCGAGAAAGAUUCAGAAGGUUGGAUUUUGAUAGACAGGAAUGGUGAGCACUUCGGAACUAUUUUGAAAUAUCUUCGAGAUGGAUCAGUGUCAUUGCCAAAGAAGAUGAAAGAUCUUAAAAAUUUACUGGCCGAAGCUCGAUACUAUUUAAUCGAAGGAUUGAUCGCACCAUGUGAAUCAAGAUUAGAGAGAUCAAAGGGUUGUCCGUUUGGUCAAGUGAGAAUGUUUUCAUCACCGGAAAAACAAGCUGAAUUCAUUUUAUAUUCGAAGAUACCAAUUGUUAAGCUCUCAAUUAAUCGAGCGAUUAGCAAACACUCUUAUACAAAUUCAUCAGAACUACAUUUCCUUAAAAAUCGUGAAUUGUUCGCAAAAUUGUGCCUUAAAUGCAGCUCUCGAAUUAUCUUCAUUCAAGAUGAACAACCCAUCGACUUGGUUUGCUGUUGGUCAUUCUAUCACAACGGUGAAAAAGUGUCCGAUAUCAAUUGUGCCUCAACGACUGGAAAUUGCGAUUAUAACCAAUCGUUGGCUACAAAAGUUGAAUUCCCUGAUGUGAAAAUAUAUGAAGAGUUUUGAAUUUAUCGAUGCUCGCAAGUAACAUAUCAGAUGAUGAUUCGGAUGAUGAUUGGACCAGUGAUGAGGAAUAAUUGAUACUAAUAAAGUGCCUAAGAGGAAAAUAACAAUAUUGACGUCUAGUUAAGCCUUUAAAAUGAUUUGAUUUAUUUUUUGAUGCAAAACAAUGCAAUUGAUUGUAACUGUAAGAAUACAGAGGUUUCAGAGAAUAAAUUUGAUUCGAACAAUCAAU